This 26-nucleotide non-coding RNA is filed under the name Rattus norvegicus (Norway rat). The record is from RNAcentral. Lineage: Eukaryota; Metazoa; Chordata; Mammalia; Rodentia; Muridae.
UAGGUUGAGCGUGAGUGGGCAACUAG